GACGAACGCUGGCGGCGUGCUUAACACAUGCAAGUCGAACGGAAAGGCCCUGCUUUUGUGGGGUGCUCGAGUGGCGAACGGGUGAGUAACACGUGAGUAACCUGCCCUUGACUUUGGGAUAACUUCAGGAAACUGGGGCUCAUACCGGAUAGGAGCUCCUGCUGCAUGGUGGGGGUUGGAAAGUUUCGGCGGUUGGGGAUGGACUCGCGGCUUAUCAGCUUGUUGGUGGGGUAGUGGCUUACCAAGGCUUUGACGGGUAGCCGGCCUGAGAGGGUGACCGGCCACAUUGGAACUGAGAUACGGCCCAGACUCCUACGGGAGGCAGCAGUGGGAAAUAUUGCACAAUGGGCGGAAGCCUGAUGCAGCAACGCCGCGUGCGGGAUGACGGCCUUCGGGUUGUAAACCGCUUUCGCCUGUGACGAAGCGUGAGUGACGGUAAUGGGUAAAGAAGCACCGGCUAACUACGUG
Molecule: ribosomal RNA, 468 nt
Filed under: uncultured bacterium
Lineage: Bacteria
Description: partial 16S ribosomal RNA
Rfam family: Bacterial small subunit ribosomal RNA
Source: RNAcentral